GUCCCAGCACAUCACAGCUCAGCUUUUGACGCUACUCCUUUCUACCCGAUGUUUUUAGUAAUGGCAUCUAGUCAUAGUUUUCAUCUAGUUGUGGAGGGGAACGCCUCCCCAGAAUAUCUGCCUUCUCAUUUUCCCCAUGAGCUCAGUGUCUACUUAACUCAUAGCAACCUAGUAAACGUCUCAAGUUAACACCGCCAAGCUGGAGCUCAAGUCAUGUCCCCUUAGUCUCUAUCAACUGAAGUAGGCACCCUGAAUCACCCCCCACCCCGUGGUUUCCCACCACUCUGCACCUUGACCUCUGAGCUCUAGCCACAGCUGCCUUCUUCCCAUGCCUCCCUCCUUAUCUUGGCAGCAUUGUGAGUGCUAAUUCUGCUGCACAGCAGGCCCUGCUCUUCCGCUUUAUGCCGGCCUCCCCUCAGGUCUCCAGUUAGUGCAGGUCUUCUUUGAUGGCCUCCUCUGAAGCACCCCAACCUUCUACCCUAGAAUGCUGUCACCUUCCCUGCAGUGUGUUCACACUGCAUGGCACUCUAGUGUGUGCCCAUUUACACUACAUCAUCUGUUUCUCCUUCUGAAUCUCAAGCUCCGCGAUCGGGAAGACUCCAUUGUGUUACCGCUGUACCGGCCCCUCCACUGUCUAGCAUACUAAAGGUCCUCACUAACUAUAUUUUAGAUAGAUUACACAGGAAAAAAACUGAAGAGAAAUAUUAGAGAGCCAAAAGGAGUGAGAACCAAGAAGUUACAGCAAUGGUCCAGCCCAAGCAAGAAGCGGGUGAGCUGGACCCCAACAAAGAACAGCAGAAGCUGAGGAUCUGGAUCCGCCAGUAAAGGGCCUGCUGUAUGGCCGCUGAGGACCUGGAUCCACUAGUAAAGGGCCUGCUGUAUGGCCGCUGAGGACCUGGAUCCGCCAGUAAAGGGCCUGCUGUAUGGCCGCUGAGGACCUGGAUCCGCCAGUAAAGGGCCUGCUGUAUGGCCGCUGAGGACCUGGAUCCGCCAGUAAAGGGCCUGCUGUAUGGCCGCUGAGGACCUGGAUCCGCCAGUAAAGGACCUGCUGUAUGGCCGCUGAGGACCUGGAUCCGCCAGUAAAGGGCCUGCUGUAUGGCCGCUGAGGAUCUGGAUCUGCCAGUAAAGGGCCUGCUGUAUGGCCGCUGAGGACCUGGAUCCACUAGUAAAGGGCCUGCUCUAGGCCGCUGAGGAUCUGAGUUUGAUUCCCACCACAUAAAUCAAAAUUCAGGUGUGGUGGGGUUUGCUUGUAAAUCAGAGCACUGGUGAGGGACAGGUAGAUCUACUUGGAGCUACUCAGCCUAGCCUACUUGGUGAGUUCAAAGCCAGCGAGAGCUCGCAUCUGAAAAGACAAGGAGGAAAACUCCUGAAGAAUGACACCAGGAUUGUCCUCUGGCCUGCACGUGCACACGCAUAUGGUUAUGUGUACCGAUCCACACAAAAACACACAGAAGAUGCCCCAGCAGCCAAACAAGAUGUGGGGUGAGACUGGAGGAUUGUAUCUGGAGGAACAGAGGAAGAGGAGCAGAUCUGCAGUCAGCCUACCCACCUCUCUGGCAGGAGUCUCUUUUCUGUGCAAUGAGGAAGUGCAAGACUUACCUAAAGUCCUGGCUGGAGUAGUCUGUGAGGCUGGACCAUCUCAACCAUUGGUCUUGAAGCUGUUCUGGAUGCAGAACUCUGAGGAAACUGCAACAGAGGCACUCUGAGCUGCUGGAUCACCUAGGCUACCCAUUUUCAUUGGUGUUUGGUCUCCUUGCUCUGAAAACACAUACACUUUCAAAGGUAACAUACAUAUCUACAUCAACACAAGUAUGGAAUGGGCAAUGUGCACAAGUCAGUUAAAGAUGAUUUUUUAUUUUACAUUUGAGCAGGUAAAAGCCAUUUGUCAACUUUAUAAGUCUGUUUGGACUCUAUAAUCAAAUUGUAAUAUAAAUCUCAAUCCAUGCCAUAUUAAAGGAUGGCAUGUAAUAAGAAAUCAUGAGGACUCUGUAGCCAACAAAAUUUAUCAUGUGUCAUCCAGUCUCAGAGCUAUUUCUGUGUCAAAGGAUCAGCUUACAUAUCACCUGUCCUGUAGUCUUUUUUGGCUUCCUCCCCCAUGUCUAUAACCAAGAUACUCAGGAGGUCUCCCCUGGCCAAAUCUUAUCUCUAUUAAUCUGGAAGGAAUCCACAGCCUUUCAUUUCCUGUGAAAACAAAAGCAUAAUCUUUCCCCCAACACAACAUAUUGUCCAACUUCGAUUUUGAAGUUAAGACAUUUUAAAAAUAUAUAGGUUGGCUUAAUUUAGCAGAUUCUACAAUCUAAUGUUUCUCAGCAGCUAUUGUUUUUUGUAUAUUCACAUUUAAAAAAUUCAAAGUUAACAAGACAACAUAUAGGAUCCAGACUCCCUAUGUAUUUUCCAUCCGUACAUGGCUUAUUUUUUUUUAAUUACUUUAUUCUUUCUUUACUUUAUUAUUUUUAAACUAUUUAUUUUUUCUAUGACUCUCUAUACCCAUGUUUUUUCCUUAAGGCCACACACAUUGUCAAACACACUGUUACCCAUUUAGCAGGUUGUUUUUGUUAUUGUUUGUUUGUUUAUUUUCAUCUGAACCUGUUUUACUGUGUGUCUGUAACCUUUUCUGUCUGCAUGAGCAAAACCUUAAACCCACCAUGUGGCUUAGUUCAUGGCAUAUUGGCCACUCAAGCACACAGGCAGCUGCUGGGAGAUGUGUCUCUGAACCACGGCUACAUGAGAGACACAAGAGUAGGAAGCAGUGUUUGGCUCUGUCUUUGUGUGUUUAGAAUCUUUUUUAAAGCUUUCUCAGGUCUUAUGUAGAUAUAUGUGGCCAGAUGUUGGGCGCCAUUUAUAGGUGUUUUUUUUUUCCAUCCCACCAGCUAGCACCUAAAUAACCACAUGGAGACUUCUUAUUAAUUAUGAAAGCUCGGCCAAUGGCUUAAACUUGCUCCUAACUAGUUCUUAUACCUUAAAUUAACUCAUAACUUUUAAUCUACGUUCUUUUAAGUGGCCUGGUUACCUUUACUCUGUACUCCCCAUCCUGCUUCCUCUCCAUCUGACUGGCGACUCCUGCAUCUCUGCCCUUCUUCCCAGCAUCAUCUCUGCCCCGAAAGUCCUGCCUAGCUAUUGGAUAUUUAGCUUUCUUUUUUUUUUUUUUAAAGAUUUAUUUAUUUAUUAUGUAUACAGUAUUCUGCCUACACACCAGAAGAGGGCACCAGAUCAAAUUACAGAUGGUUGUGAGCCACCAUGUGGUUGCUGGGAAUUGAACUCAGGACCUCGGGAAGAGCUGCCAGUGCUCUUAACCUCUGAGCCAUCUCUCCAGCCCCUUAGCUUUCUUUAAACCAAUCUUAGUGACAAGUUUUCACAAUGUACAAAAAGAUAUUCCCCAACAAGUCUCAAUACUAAAUUUUCAGUGGAUCUUUAAAAACUUAGUUGCCUAAGAAAACUUCAUUUCUUGGUGUUAUUUCUAGUGUGUUCACUUGGGGUAACUGAAAAGAGUGCCAAUAAGUCACAUAAUGACACACCUACACACACGGCCAUGCCAUCUUCAUGUUCAGUCAGAGACAAUACUUUCCAACUCAUUGUGUUUGAAGGUGAGUCUUAAACUUGAGGCUGUAUUUUUUGUAAAUGUACUUUGUAGAGAAGCACAAAUAGAUAAUUAGCCCCUGGAAAUGUCUUGUGUGUUCAUUAAGUAAGAAAACUCUGAGGUUGUAAAACCACACUCUCACACACACAAAAAUCAAGUAUUUUUCAGUCUCCACAGGGAAAAAAUAAACAUUUCUUAAAUAUUAAUUUUUUAAUUUGUAAUCUGUGUGGUCUUUGUGUCUUUAAUCGUACCAUUUGCAUGCAUUACCCAAGCAGUCCAGAAGAGGGCUUUGGAUCUCCCAUCUCCCGGAACUGGAGUUAGUGAAGGCUGUAAGCUGCCCCUAUGGGUGCUAGGAAUAGAACUCAGGUUGUCUGCAAGAGCAGAAAUUGCUCUUAACCACCAAACCGUUUCUCCAGCACUAAUUCUAUGUUUUUCACCUAUGUGAAUAUGGUGUGUGUGUGUGUGUGUGUGUGUGUGUG
Molecule: long non-coding RNA, 4056 nt
Organism: Peromyscus californicus insignis
Lineage: Eukaryota; Metazoa; Chordata; Mammalia; Rodentia; Cricetidae
Exons: 3
Source: RefSeq, a predicted model, not a curated record